This 873-nucleotide ribosomal RNA is filed under the name uncultured bacterium. RNAcentral's name for it is "bacterial SSU rRNA". It matches the Rfam family "Bacterial small subunit ribosomal RNA", at positions 8 to 853 of the family's 1533-position model. The record is from RNAcentral.
AGAGUUUGAUCGUGGCUCAGGACGAACGCUGGCGGCGUGCCUAAUACAUGCAAGUUCGCACGCUUGAUUUUCACCGAAGCUUGCUUCACCGAAAAUCAAGAGUAGCGAACGGGUGAGUAACGCGUGGGUAACCUACCUAUCAGCGGGGGAUAACUAUUGGAAACGAUAGCUAAUACCGCAUAACAAUGUUGGAUGCAUAUUCGACAUUUGAAAGUACCAACUGGUACACUGAGAGAUGGACCCGCGUUGUAUUAGCUAGUUGGUAGUGUAAUGGACUACCAAGGCGAUGAUACAUAGCCGACCUGAGAGGGUGAUCGGCCACAUUGGGACUGAGACACGGCCCAAACUCCUACGGGAGGCAGCAGUAGGGAAUCUUCGGCAAUGGACGAAAGUCUGACCGAGCAACGCCGCGUGAGUGAAGAAGGUUUUCGGAUCGUAAAACUCUGUUGUUAGAGAAGAACGUUGCAUAGAGUGGAAAAUUAUGCAAGUGACGGUAUCUAACCAGAAAGGGACGGCUAACUACGUGCCAGCAGCCGCGGUAAUACGUAGGUCCCGAGCGUUGUCCGGAUUUAUUGGGCGUAAAGCGAGCGCAGGUGGUUUAAUAAGUCUGAUGUAAAAGGCAGUGGCUCAACCAUUGUGUGCAUUGGAAACUGUUAGACUUGAGUGCAGUAGAGGAGAGUGGAAUUCCAUGUGUAGCGGUGAAAUGCGUAGAUAUAUGGAGGAACACCGGUGGCGAAAGCGGCUCUCUGGACUGUCACUGACACUGAGGCUCGAAAGCGUGGGUAGCAAACAGGAUUAGAUACCCUGGUAGUCCACGCCGUAAACGAUGAGUGCUAGUUGUUUGGGGCUAUCCAGCCCUAAGUGCACGCAGCA